RNAcentral lists this ribosomal RNA (1247 nucleotides) under 'Brassica rapa' shoot proliferation phytoplasma. RNAcentral describes it as "bacterial SSU rRNA". It matches the Rfam family "Bacterial small subunit ribosomal RNA", at positions 153 to 1399 of the family's 1533-position model. The record is from RNAcentral. Lineage: Bacteria; Bacillati; Mycoplasmatota; Mollicutes; Acholeplasmatales; Acholeplasmataceae.
GAAACGACUGCUAAGACUGGAUAGGAAAAGUAAAGGCAUCUUUACUUUUUUAAAAGACCUUCUUUGAAGGUAUGCUUAAGGAGGGGCUUGCGACACAUUAGUUAGUUGGCAGGGUAAAGGCCUACCAAGACUAUGAUGUGUAGCUGGACUGAGAGGUUGAACAGCCACAUUGGGACUGAGACACGGCCCAAACUCCUACGGGAGGCAGCAGUAGGGAAUUUUCGGCAAUGGAGGAAACUCUGACCGAGCAACGCCGCGUGAACGAUGAAGUACCUCGGUAUGUAAAGUUCUUUUAUUAAGGAAGAAAAAAGAGUGGAAAAACUCCCUUGACGGUACUUAAUGAAUAAGCCCCGGCUAAUUAUGUGCCAGCAGCCGCGGUAAUACAUAAGGGGCGAGCGUUAUCCGGAAUUAUUGGGCGUAAAGGGUGCGUAGGCGGUUUAAUAAGUCUAUAGUUUAAUUUCAGUGCUUAACGCUGUUGUGCUAUAGAAACUGUUUUACUAGAGUGAGUUAGAGGCAAGCGGAAUUCCAUGUGUAGCGGUAAAAUGCGUAAAUAUAUGGAGGAACACCAGAGGCGUAGGCGGCUUGCUGGGACUUUACUGACGCUGAGGCACGAAAGCGUGGGGAGCAAACAGGAUUAGAUACCCUGGUAGUCCACGCCGUAAACGAUGAGUACUAAGUGUCGGGUAAAACCGGUACUGAAGUUAACACAUUAAGUACUCCGCCUGAGUAGUACGUACGCAAGUAUGAGACUUAAAGGAAUUGACGGGACUCCGCACAAGCGGUGGAUCAUGUUGUUUAAUUCGAAGAUACACGAAAAACCUUACCAGGUCUUGACAUUUUCUUGCGAAGUUAUAGAAAUAUAAUGGAGGUUAUCAGGAAAACAGGUGGUGCAUGGUUGUCGUCAGCUCGUGUCGUGAGAUGUUAGGUUAAGUCCUAAAACGAGCGCAACCCUUGUCGUUAAUUGCCAGCAUGUAAUGAUGGGGACUUUAACGAGACUGCCAAUGAAAAAUUGGAGGAAGGUGGGGAUUACGUCAAAUCAUCAUGCCCCUUAUGAUCUGGGCUACAAACGUGAUACAAUGGUUGAUACAAAGAGUAGCUGAAACGCGAGUUCUUAGCCAAUCUCACAAAAUCAAUCUCAGUUCGGAUUGAAGUCUGCAACUCGACUUCAUGAAGUUGGAAUCGCUAGUAAUCGCGAAUCAGCAUGUCGCGGUGAAUACGUUCUCGGGGUUUGUACACACCGCCCGUCA